UGCAUAUCCAAAAAGCGGAGGAAAAGAAACCAACAGGGAUUGCCUCAGUAGCGGCGAGUGAAGCGGCAAGAGCUCAGAUUUGAAAUCUCACCUAGUGUGCGAGUUGUAAAUUGCAGGUUGGAGUCUCGGGUUAGACGUGUGUGCAAGUCCCUUGGAACAGGGUGCCACUGAGGGUGAGAGCCCCGUAUCGUGCAUGUCGAYACCUGUGAGGCCCUUCUGACGAGUCGAGUUGUUUGGGAAUGCAGCUCUAAGUGGGUGGUAAAUUCCAUCUAAGGCUAAAUAUUGGCGAGAGACCGAUAGCGAACAAGUACUGUGAAGGAAAGAUGAAAAGCACUUUGAAAAGAGAGUGAAACAGCACGUGAAAUUGUUGAAAGGGAAGGGUAUUGGGCUCGACAUGGGAUUUACGCAUCGUUGCCUCUCGUGGGCGGCGCUCUGGGUUUUUCCUGGGCCAGCAUCGGUUUUCGUUGCAGGAUAAGGACAAUUGRAAUGUGGCUCCUCGGAGUGUUAUAGCCUUUUGUAGAUGCUGCGUAUGGGGACCGAGGGCUGCGGCGGACUCGUUUCGUCUCGGAUGCUGGCACAACGGCGCAAUACCGCCCGUCUUGAACCCCGGGACCA
This 615-nucleotide ribosomal RNA is filed under the name Pichia kluyveri. RNAcentral's name for it is "partial large subunit ribosomal RNA". It matches the Rfam family "Eukaryotic large subunit ribosomal RNA", at positions 37 to 664 of the family's 3401-position model. The record is from RNAcentral. Lineage: Eukaryota; Fungi; Ascomycota; Pichiomycetes; Pichiales; Pichiaceae.